Molecule: ribosomal RNA, 784 nt
Filed under: Globodera rostochiensis
Lineage: Eukaryota; Metazoa; Nematoda; Chromadorea; Rhabditida; Heteroderidae
Description: eukaryotic LSU rRNA
Rfam family: Eukaryotic large subunit ribosomal RNA
Source: RNAcentral
ACAAGUACCGUGAGGGAAAGUUGCAAAGCACUUUGAAGAGAGAGUUAAAGAGGACGUGAAACCGAUGAGAUGGAAACGGACAGAGCUGGCGUAUCUGGUCUGCAUUCAUCCGUGUGUUCUUGGGCGUUUGGAUUGCCACUCUCCAGACUGGGAUGGUGUUCAUUCUGUUCAGGGGCUCAUGGAGCAUUUGCAGGCGGAGUGCGCUGAGAUGCUCGGAACAGCUGUAUGAGCUUGGCUUUGAGGCCAGCCCUUCGGGGUCUGGUACCCGGGCUGUGGGAGUGCUGUUUGUUCUGGGUGCUGAGUGUGUGCAAUGGCAACGGGUCCGUGUUGGUUUGAGCUGGCGGUCGGUGGCGGUCGCGUGCGACACGUGCCAGCAGUCAGUUCGGUCCUGCUCGGGCUCUCAUUGCAUGUUCUCGGUGUAAAAGCCGGUCAUCUGUCCGACCCGUCUUGAAACACGGACCAAGGAGUUUAGCGUGUGCGCGAGUCAUUGGGAGUUGAAAACCCAAGGGCGUAAUGAAAGUGAAGGUCUCCUUGCGGAGCUGAUGUGUGAUCUCGUGCACCCCGGUGUGCGGGCGCAACAUAGUCCCGUCCCGAUCGCAUGCGAUGGGGCGGAGACAGAGCGUACGCGCUGAGACCCGAAAGAUGGUGAACUAUUCCUGAGCAGGAUGAAGCCAGAGGAAACUCUGGUGGAAGUCCGAAGCGAUUCUGACGUGCAAAUCGAUCGUCUGACUUGGGUAUAGGGGCGAAAGACUAAUCGAACCAUCUAGUAGCUGGUUCCUUCCGA